GGCAGCAUGCCAGAGUGGUUAAUGGGUAAGACUUGAAUUAGCAAUCAGUUCCUAUCUUAUGACUUCGGUCGCGCAGGUUCGAACCCUGCUGCUGUCG
This is a non-coding RNA of Colletotrichum gloeosporioides, 97 nucleotides long. The record is from Rfam. NCBI's taxonomy places the organism in Eukaryota, Fungi, Ascomycota, Sordariomycetes, Glomerellales, Glomerellaceae.